Molecule: ribosomal RNA, 305 nt
Filed under: uncultured bacterium
Lineage: Bacteria
Description: bacterial SSU rRNA
Rfam family: Bacterial small subunit ribosomal RNA
Source: RNAcentral
AUCUGCCUACGGGGGGCAGCAGUGGGGGAUAUUGCACAAUGGGCGAAAGUCUGAUGCAGCGACGCCGCGUGAGGGAAGACGGUCUUCGGAUUGUAAACCUCUGUCUUUGGGGAAGAAGAUGACGGUACCCAAAGAGGAAGCUCCGGCUAACUACGUGCCAGCAGCCGCGGUAAUACGUAGGGAGCGAGCGUUGUCCGGAAUUACUGGGUGUAAAGGGAGCGUAGGCGGGGAUGCAAGUUGGAUGUUUAAACUAUCGGCUCAACCGGUAAUUGCAACCAAAACUGCAACUCUUGAGUGGGCGAGAA